UGCCAGUAGUACUGGAUAAUAGUGCGUAUU
RNAcentral lists this non-coding RNA (30 nucleotides) under Homo sapiens (human). Lineage: Eukaryota; Metazoa; Chordata; Mammalia; Primates; Hominidae. The record is from RNAcentral.